Molecule: long non-coding RNA, 1005 nt
Organism: Thamnophis elegans (Western terrestrial garter snake)
Lineage: Eukaryota; Metazoa; Chordata; Lepidosauria; Squamata; Natricidae
Exons: 3
Source: RefSeq, a predicted model, not a curated record
CUACAUCAUUCUGGAUUGACUUGGAGUGUCUGCCUGCUGGUUGUUACACAAGUCUCCUGAACAUUGGAUAUGAUGAAUCCAGAAAAUUCACAUGAAUAAGACCAAAUAUGAAGAAACAUCUUCAAAACCCGAAUCUCAAAAACAUAGUUAUUUCAUUACAAGACAAGUAUAUUUAAUAAGAAGACUGACUGUGAAAGGAAUAGUUCCCACCACCACCUUGGAUCAAUAUGGAUAGAAGACCACUAACAAUUAAUUCUCUGUUGACCAAGACAAGAUAAUCUCACCCUCUGAUAUAAAACAUGGUUCAUUGGUUGGAUAAAAUAGGGCACAGAAGGCCAGAAAUAAAGGAUGAAUGGUAGAGCAUGUGCAUUACAUACAGAAGUACCAUACUCCAUCAAAAACAUGGUCAAAAGUCUGCCUGAGACACAAAAGCAGCUAACUAUAGUUAGUUGGGAGUUCUGUUACUAUAAACACAUACUAACCUGCCAAGUAGUCUGGGAGAAUGGGAACUGAACAUCAAAGAAUUGGGGGACAUUCUGUUACUGACUCCGCUGGCUAAAGUUGGAUUAAUACUAGGACUGUGUUUUCAAAGGACUGAUUUUUUUUCAAAGGAUGCUUUGAGCAAAGUGUUCAAAGUUGCUUUGUAAAGGAAUGUGGCUCCUUACUUUUAAGGAUAAAGCAAAGCUGCUGCCUCACUUCACUUUAGCCGCCAUCUUUGAUAUGUCCAGUAUCUGGAAGUGCUUUUGGAGAGAUUUUGGAAGGGUCAUAAAAAUUAGCAGUAGUGAAGCCAAACUUUGGUAGUUUGAUGAGGCAAAAAGUUUCACUUCUACACAGGGGACUUUGUGGUAAUAAAUUGUGACAGCCUUGCAUUGUAACUUUCAAUAUAAAGAAAGUAUUGAUUGUGUUUAAUAUAAUUUACCAACAGUACAAUGUUGAUUGAAAGGUUUACAGUUGAAGGACAGCAUAUAGAUUUGUGAAAUCUUCUGAUUUUUGCCCAGUAGGUCA